Molecule: ribosomal RNA, 589 nt
Filed under: uncultured bacterium
Lineage: Bacteria
Description: bacterial SSU rRNA
Rfam family: Bacterial small subunit ribosomal RNA
Source: RNAcentral
CCUACGGGAGGCAGCAGUGGGGAAUAUUGGACAAUGGGCGAAAGCCUGAUCCAGCAAUGCCGCGUGAGUGAUGAAGGCCUUAGGGUUGUAAAGCUCUUUUACCAGGGAUGAUAAUGACAGUACCUGGAGAAUAAGCUCCGGCUAACUCCGUGCCAGCAGCCGCGGUAAUACGGAGGGAGCUAGCGUUGUUCGGAAUUACUGGGCGUAAAGCGUACGUAGGCGGUUAUUCAAGUCAGAGGUGAAAGCCUGGAGCUCAACUCCAGAACUGCCUUUGAAACUAGAUAGCUAGAAUCACGGAGAGGUUAGUGGAAUUCCGAGUGUAGAGGUGAAAUUCGUAGAUAUUCGGAAGAACACCAGUGGCGAAGGCGACUAACUGGACGUGUAUUGACGCUGAGGUACGAAAGCGUGGGGAGCAAACAGGAUUAGAUACCCUGGUAGUCCACGCCGUAAACGAUGAUAACUAGCUGUUCGGUCUCUACGAGACUGAGUGGCGCAGCUAACGCAUUAAGUUAUCCGCCUGGGGAGUACGGUCGCAAGAUUAAAACUCAAAGGAAUUGACGCUGAGAGNGCGAGACGACGACGAGGAGAG